AGUCCUUUGGUGUAGUGGUAUCACGUCUCCUUUACAACAUACUUACCUCGGAGAAGGUCAUGGGUUCGAAACCCAUAGGGACUA
Molecule: transfer RNA, 84 nt
Filed under: Capronia epimyces CBS 606.96
Lineage: Eukaryota; Fungi; Ascomycota; Eurotiomycetes; Chaetothyriales; Herpotrichiellaceae
Rfam family: tRNA
About the family: Transfer RNA (tRNA) molecules are approximately 80 nucleotides in length. Their secondary structure includes four short double-helical elements and three loops (D, anti-codon, and T loops). Further hydrogen bonds mediate the characteristic L-shaped molecular structure. tRNAs have two regions of fundamental functional importance: the anti-codon, which is responsible for specific mRNA codon recognition, and the 3' end, to which the tRNAs corresponding amino acid is attached (by aminoacyl-tRNA synthetases). tRNAs cope with the degeneracy of the genetic code in two manners: having more than one tRNA (with a specific anti-codon) for a particular amino acid; and 'wobble' base-pairing, i.e. permitting non-standard base-pairing at the 3rd anti-codon position.
Source: Rfam by way of RNAcentral